Molecule: non-coding RNA, 21 nt
Organism: Caenorhabditis elegans
Lineage: Eukaryota; Metazoa; Nematoda; Chromadorea; Rhabditida; Rhabditidae
Source: Ensembl
UAAUACUCCCUGUUUGGUUAA